RNAcentral lists this transfer RNA (72 nucleotides) under bacterium. Its description in RNAcentral is "tRNA-Thr". It matches the Rfam family "tRNA". From Rfam's summary of the family: Transfer RNA (tRNA) molecules are approximately 80 nucleotides in length. Their secondary structure includes four short double-helical elements and three loops (D, anti-codon, and T loops). The record is from RNAcentral.
GCCGAUGUAGUUCAGUGGCAGAACGCAUUCUUGGUAAGAAUGAGGUCGCGAGUUCGAUUCUCGCUAUCGGCU